RNAcentral lists this ribosomal RNA (253 nucleotides) under uncultured bacterium. RNAcentral describes it as "partial 16S ribosomal RNA". It matches the Rfam family "Bacterial small subunit ribosomal RNA", at positions 524 to 776 of the family's 1533-position model. The record is from RNAcentral.
UACGAAGGGGGCUAGCGUUGCUCGGAAUCACUGGGCGUAAAGCGCACGUAGGCGGAUCCUUAAGUCGGGGGUGAAAUCCUGGAGCUCAACUCCAGAACUGCCUUCGAUACUGAGGAUCUCGAGUCCGGGAGAGGUGAGUGGAACUGCGAGUGUAGAGGUGAAAUUCGUAGAUAUUCGCAAGAACACCAGUGGCGAAGGCGGCUCACUGGCCCGGUACUGACACUGAGGUGCGAAAGCGUGGGGAGCAAACAGG